GCACUACUGAGGAGUCCCAUACUAAGACGAAACGGCCGUUCAGUAC
Molecule: non-coding RNA, 46 nt
Filed under: Schistosoma haematobium
Lineage: Eukaryota; Metazoa; Platyhelminthes; Trematoda; Strigeidida; Schistosomatidae
Source: RNAcentral